AUCGCUUCUCGGCCUUUUGGCUAAGAUCAAGUGUAAAAAUGUGACUAGUACGUAAGAAUUGAAAGCAGGAAUAGCAAAUUGAAAAUGUAAUGAAAUAAUUAUAUUUGAUGCAUUAGAUGUUCUUAAAAAAACAUCUAGAACUUCCAACUUUCCAUAUCACACUGAAUGGUAAAGCUGUACACUUU
Ochotona princeps (American pika) is the source of this 185-nucleotide small nuclear RNA. RefSeq annotates it as U2 spliceosomal RNA. NCBI's taxonomy places the organism in Eukaryota, Metazoa, Chordata, Mammalia, Lagomorpha, Ochotonidae. The record is from RefSeq and is a predicted model, not a curated record. The transcript has a single exon.